This is a long non-coding RNA of Cuculus canorus (common cuckoo), 1502 nucleotides long. RefSeq lists it as uncharacterized. NCBI's taxonomy places the organism in Eukaryota, Metazoa, Chordata, Aves, Cuculiformes, Cuculidae. The transcript is spliced from 5 exons. The record is from RefSeq and is a predicted model, not a curated record.
UACAGUUCUUGUAAGACAUUUGUUUUGGUUAUCGAGUUGAAGGAGUCAGGAAUGAGCUGUUGAAGAUGACUGUCAUGCAGUAGAUAAUAAAUCUGGGGCGUGGAUUUAUGAGUGGGUGGUUUUAGUGGUAGGCAUCUCAAAUGUCUAGAGAAACACCCAGGCUGUUUUUUCAGGAGGCAUCUCUGCUGCUGCUGAGACCUGGCAGCAUCAUUGCACGCAUGGGAGGAGGCAGCCAGAGGAGUCUGCAGGGACCAUAAAGGGGCUGUGGGGGACGAAUGAAAAGCCAAGGAGCCAGAGUGACUGCAGCCUCUUCAGAUGCCACCGAACUAAACAGCAGCACAGGGCAGAGCAGCUCCCUGAGCUGCUACUUGAAUGAAAAAUAUCUGUAAGCUGGCUCUGCUCAAGUGCUCAGUAAUUUGGGGAAAGAGAAAUAACUUUCUGCUGGUGCCCAAUUCAGAGAAUCCUUGAAGAGGAUGACGUGAAGUGACCAUCCCUUGGGGCACUGUUGAUGGGACACUGUAGGCUGUAUCCUGGCUGUGCCAGGACCAUCCUCUUCCCAUGCAGGAGGAGGACUGCUGAAAUGUUGCCUGGGUUAUUAGGCUGUCUCACGUGUGUUUAUGAUGGUUCCCCAAGGACUCCAGUCUGAAGUAGCAUAGCCACACAGCAGUAGGAGGCUUUGCCUUCCCGAAGUGAGCUACAACUGCACUUUAGCUGGAGACAGAACAACAGCUCUUUAAAAGAAAAUGGUGCAGCUUCUCUUUUAAAUGUUCCACUGGGCUCUUGAGGAGGUCUGCAGACGUCUGUGAGGCUCUGAAUGCUCAAGGAAGUAAUAAUCAGCCUUACUAACUCAGAGCACUGGCCAGCCAGUCUUGUACCAGCAGGAAGAGAGUGCAAUAUGUCCUGUCUUUGCAAAGCUGGACACAGGAACCAGCUCCAUCCUGAAACAAACCGCGUGUGCUGUUUGAAGCCUUGGUGAUAGUGCAGCCUGGAGAAUGAGUGGCCCUCUGCCUUGUCAGACCCCCCAGACCACAAUUAUGCUCCACUAGGUUGAGACUAGACUCCAACAGGAAUCCAUCCCUCCAGAUCUGUCCUCUCACCUCCCCGAAAACAUCAUAUUUGAGGUUCAAAGUUGCUUCUACUUCAGGGACACAGCAUGUUACCUGGACUAAUUUAUAAAGGAAAUGAAAAGGAAAUGGACUCGUUGUAAUGAACACCAUUAAUUCACCUCUUCAGACUUCAUUGUUUGAACAUGCAAGAGGAGAGAAAAAACAUCUUUCCUGCAACAGCCUUCUUGAGAAUGGAAGCAUUAAAUCAUAGGGCGUUUUUUUUGAGGGAUCCCGGGAAGCUGGUCUGUGACAAUGUGACAAGGGCUGUGCAUCCAGUGUGUCUCAAUGGAGCUUCCUUCUGAGCUACGAGUCACAAUCAGGAACAGCUAUCAUUCCUUCACAUCCCAGAAACCACUCCAGACACCACCAGCUCCAACAAAGGGAAGGAGAUCCACU